GGAAUUGUUCGCAAUGGGCGCAAGCCUGACGACGCAACGCCGCGUGGAGGACGAAGAUCUUCGGGUCGUAAACUCCUGUCGAGCGGGAAGAACCCCGCAGAGCCGAAUACGCUCUGCGGCUGACGGUACCGCUAAAGGAAGCCCCGGCUAACUCCGUGCCAGCAGCCGCGGUAAUACGGGGGGGGCAAGCGUUGUUCGGAAUUACUGGGCGUAAAGGGCUCGUAGGCGGCCAACUAAGUCGGAUGUGAAAUCCCCAGGCUCAACUUGGGAACUGCAUCCGAUACUGGUUGGCUUGAAUCCGGGAGAGGGAUGCAGAAUUCCAGGUGUAGCGGUGAAAUGCGUAGAUAUCUGGAGGAAUACCGGUGGCGAAGGCGGCAUCCUGGACCGGCAUUGACGCUGAGUGAGCGAAAGCCAGGGGAGCAAAC
This 425-nucleotide ribosomal RNA is filed under the name uncultured bacterium. Its description in RNAcentral is "bacterial SSU rRNA". It matches the Rfam family "Bacterial small subunit ribosomal RNA", at positions 358 to 773 of the family's 1533-position model. The record is from RNAcentral.